UAUUUUAUUGUUCUCGAAGUCUUCUACAAAUAGUUCUUUCAAUUUUUGGAUCAAAGUCGGCAAGAAAAUUUGAAUUGUUUCGGGUCAUAAAACACCUAAAAUGAAAUUAAAAAAAAAUCAACAAAGAGAAAACAAGUUAGUGAAUACUAAAUAUUCUAUAAGGAAAACAAAGUAGAAAGACAGAAAAGAACAAAAAAAUAAACAUCAAACAAACGCCAUCCCCGACAACGAUGCCAAGAACUUGAUC
RNAcentral lists this long non-coding RNA (247 nucleotides) under Gossypium raimondii (Peruvian cotton). RNAcentral's name for it is "long non-coding RNA (GRAI_LNC006471)". The record is from RNAcentral. Lineage: Eukaryota; Viridiplantae; Streptophyta; Magnoliopsida; Malvales; Malvaceae.